Molecule: ribosomal RNA, 405 nt
Filed under: uncultured bacterium
Lineage: Bacteria
Description: partial 16S ribosomal RNA
Rfam family: Bacterial small subunit ribosomal RNA
Source: RNAcentral
AUUGAACGCUAGCGGGAUGCUUUACACAUGCAAGUCGAACGAGUGGCGGACGGGUGAGUAAUGUAUGGGAACGUGCCCAGUAGCGGGGGAUAACUACUCGAAACAGUGGCUAAUACCGCAUACCAUCGGAUGUGCCCAUAUGGGAUUAGCUUGUUGGUGGGGUAAAGGCUCACCAAGGCCACGAUCCCUAGCUGGUCUGAGAGGACGACCAGCCACACUGGGACUGAGACACGGCCCAGACUCCUUCGGGAGGCAACAGUGGGGAAUUAUGGACAAUGGGGGGAACCCUUAUCCAGCCAUCCCGCGUUGUUGAGAAGGCCUUCGGGUUGGAAAAUACUUUUGGCAGGGAAGCGGUAUCUUGAAGAUAAGCACCGGGUAACUACGUGCCAGCAGCCGCGGUAAUAC